UUAGUGAAUGUGAGUUUUUCU
This 21-nucleotide non-coding RNA is filed under the name Caenorhabditis elegans. Lineage: Eukaryota; Metazoa; Nematoda; Chromadorea; Rhabditida; Rhabditidae. The record is from RNAcentral.